Molecule: long non-coding RNA, 1321 nt
Filed under: Ovis aries (sheep)
Lineage: Eukaryota; Metazoa; Chordata; Mammalia; Artiodactyla; Bovidae
Description: lncRNA (ENSOARG00000026579.1)
Source: RNAcentral
GAGUUGGACAGGACUGAACGACUAACACUUUUAACAGAAUUGUUAGAGCUAAAAACAAAACCAAAAGCUUGUAUUGGAGAGCACUUGUUUGUCAUGUCUUUGGAGGAAUUUUCUGGUUUUCCUGGAGAGCAGCAUGAACUUGCCUCAUGGGCCUGACUUCCUGCAGACUAGGCAGCCAAAACCUCUUCUAUUUCUCUCUUGGUUUUGGAAGCGGAACUGAAACAGGAAAUGGGAGAGGUCUCAAAUCUUGGUACCACAGUGCUUAGUUCUGUCUUUCUGAAGGCGCUGAAAGAAAGGGAAUCGUAGAUUUGCGUCUGGGCCUUGGGUUGUGAGAGACAGUGGCCGCGCUCUUUCCAAUCAGAGCUUGAACUCUAAGAACUGUAACAGCAUCCGUAUAUCCACUGAAUAGAGGAUGUUUUAAGCGUAAGGGAGCGCCUGAAGAACUGUCUUUCUGAUUAGAAAAGGGAAACGCAUCUUCCCCUGCAAGCCCGGGCCGGGCAGUCGCGGAGCGCGUCUGCGAGGCCCUCGGCGCGGCGCCGCUUCACCGCUUCGGGUGCCCCAGUCCCCGGCCCGGCUCUUCGCGGACGACCCCGCAGCUCGCCCGCCGCCGCCGCCCCCCAGCUUCCCCUCCCCUUGGCAUUGCUUGGCUUUCCCUUCCCGCGGCCUCUUUUCUCGCCCGGCCGGUUGCCGGGNGGUGCAGUGGGCAGUGGCGGCUCCCGCUGCGAAGCUGGGGGAGGAGAGGGGCCCGGGCCUGGCGCGGGAGGCGGCGAGAGACGCUCGCUUCUGUGAGUUCUGCCGGCGGGGGGCCGAGGAAGGCUGUGGACGCGGAGGAGGCCGGGGUGGAGGAGGCCGGGGAGGGGUGAUGAUGGUGUUAAAUGUGGCAGCGCUGCUCCCAGGGGAGCUGCCUGAAAGGAGAGUGCGCUCACCAGCUGACAGCGCGUGCUCCGCUCCAGACGCUCGGCACCGCGGCCAGGAGCCUCUGCCAGCCCCUCUAUUGUCAGCCGUUCUCUAAUUAAGAAACACUCACAUUACGGCAAACCACCCCCACGCUUCUUGGUUCCUGUCCUUUUCUUUAUCUCCCCCCAGACUUCUCUCCUCCCCUGACUCUCCCCUGCGUCCCAGGAUUUAACCCAUUCUCCGCUCCGUUGGCCUUUUCUGGUUCGUGGCCUAGCAGAAGAGGAGGGACCUCCGUGGUCUGCGAUUCUCUUGGGGGUUCUGCUCCGCCUGGGGUGAGGGUGGCUGGUGAGAGCAAUGUCAAAAAAAAAAAAAAGAGGAAAAACUUCACCUUUAUUAUAGCUACUCUACCUCCCAUCUCUCACCC